GUUUAAACAGUUGAACACGUGUAACAGGAAUGUCUUACGUGCAUAAUUCUGGGUCCACUUUUAUUCAGUCGGGAUUUUAUUUCUCUUUUCAGAAAUUACGUAAAUUGAUACAGUCCGCGUGUAUAACGAUAUACCAGAAGAGGGGGUUAUGUGGAACGCUUUAGAGAUGUUGCAGCACACUUCAGAGUCCGGAAGAAAUAUUUUUACGGGGGAGACAAAAUUCCAUGAUAUGGAGACCAGGCAGUUUGAGCAUGGGUGACGCCAUUACUGUAUAUAAUCGAUACGAAGCAAGUAUGAAUGACGCGCUUUGAUAGGGUGGCAAGGAAAGCCAAGCCACUGAGCGUUUAUGAAAUCGGACUAAAUCUGCCAUGGAGGAGAUGGCAGUACGCAAUUUACACCUGGCAUGCGGAGAUGAUUACAAAUAUACACCCGUUUUCUGUAAACUGUUCGGUACAUUUUCCCUGUAUGAUCUAUUUACCUGUAGCUCUAAACCCCUGACACAGGGGUAAUGACUUUAACAAUAGCAAUUAAGAGCUUCUGUUUUUCAUUUUAAUCUUAACUAUGCAACCACAUUGUCUGCUAAAUUUUCGGCUAUGAAAGGUAUUUACAAAAAUAUGCAUAUUAUCACUAUAUGAUGUUUUGUGUCCUCCCUAGGGCAUGAACAUCACAGAUUUCACAAAAUUGAUAGAGACGUCCGUGCAUUAUGUAAAUGUCUGCUAAGUGUUCUGGUGUAGAGAUGGUAAUUUUAAAGUUACUUUUUCAGAGUUUGCCCUAUCUUAAUACUCGGGAACAUCAAUUUUGCAUAGCAAAUGAACCGCUACCUAUGUUAAAUACCCUAGGUUUAUCACGGCGCUGGGACCGAGAAUCAAACCCAGAACCUCCAGGUUCCGAAGUCACCAGAUGUUAUAAAUAUCGGUUAAAAAUACGUGAUGUAGUCAUCAAGCCUGUGUGUAAGUGAUUACCAUAUGUUGCAAACAUGUUAAAAUGCACAGUAUCAUCAUUUCUAUCUAAAUAUAUACCCUACCCUCACCGUAAUGGGAAUAUUUCAGGGGAAAUUGAUGGUGAAAGAUAUAUUAUGCUUCUUGACAGUUAUGUGUGACACAAUAACCAUUUUCCUCUCUCAUUUCCUUUGCUUGAACUUUGAACCCGGAAUUGAUAUAGAUCUACAUGUAUAGGUCAUCUCUAGUGGGUAAUUGUCGUGUGAAAUUUCCCGAUUUCAAGUGGAUAGGGAAACGACUGCAGUAAGCUCUAAAACCUCUUUUAUAUCAGUCCGCUUUCCUUGACCUUUGACACUAAAAUUGAUGGAGAUCAUUUUUCUCUUUGUGAAGUGAGGUGACUUCGGUUGGAAAGCAAAAUCACGGAAAGCUCGAAAACCGCUUUCCAGCAUCAGAGUCAUAUACGCUUGAUAUUUGUAUCCCAAAAUCAAUAGGGAUCAAACACAUUCCGUGUCUUGUCCAUGGAUGAAUUACAGUGACUCUAGGUGAAAGGAAAAAUCACUUUUGGCCCGGAAACCGUUUUUCUAUAUCCGAGUACAGUUCUCUUGAUAUUUUGACCCGAAAUCAAUAAGCAUCAUCAUCAUUCCAUGGUUAGUCAUUUCAGGUGAAAAGAAAAAUAUAGUUGAGAGUCGUUUACCUACAUGUAUGCAAAUGUCCCAUUUUAAUGACCUAAGACCCCCAAAUGGAUUGGGAUAGUCCCUUGGGGAAUCUGUGUGUGAAGAAUAGAAAUACAAGAUGUGUACAGAGACGGAUGACCUGAUUUCAGUGUAACCUCGCAAACUUUCUUUGUAAAUAAUGUCAUUCUCAAGCCUGUACACAAUUAGGGUACUCUUUUUGUCAUUUCGUUUUUCGUCAUUUCAGAGAGAAAUUGUGAUUAAAAAGAUUCUCGAAUAAGGCGUAAAUCAACGAACACAUUAUUCUAAAACAAAUUAAAUAUGAAAAGACACCAAGCAGUGGCAAUACAGUAAAUUAGCACCUCGUUAGCAGGAAGGUUGUAACAGUCUUGAUGGCCGAUUUUCUUUUGUACUUAAAGCAGAGAGAAGGAAAUUACCUAGUGUUCACAGACACGGUUAAAUAAUCCCGAAUUUAAAAACGUACAAUUCUUUCUAUAUAUUAAGGCAUCUUUUGAAAUGUUUUUAGUUUUUUUGGUCUUUAAUAUAUGCUAAAAUAUAUACGCAAAUGGUCUGAUAUUCGGUAUUCUAAAAGUACAAAGCUACAUGUUUAUACUGUAGUACGCGAUUCCCCCGACUCGAAGAGGGAUCGAUUGUUACAAGCAGUAUAGAGAGAAGCACGGAAUAUUCCACAACAUUGCUUGACAAAGCGUGAAUUCAUUUCAAGUGGAACAUUCAGUAUCACUUAGAAGAAAAACGCCUUAUAUCAUUAACAAUUUUCUACUGAAUGAAAUAUUCCCUUUACAAAAUGGAUACUCACAGUAUUCUAUCGACGAAGUAGGUCCUCAUUGACAGAUGAUAACCGUCGGUAGCCGCCAGUUGUGCGACUAUUGAUCGGCCAUGAAAAUUGUAGUCUGCCAAGAAAUAUUCCCUUACUGGCAAUUUGGACACCCGAGCACCUGUAAUAGAGGAGUCAGACCGGGGUUUAAUCAAUGGCUCAGUCACUCUUGAAGGACUUUUAACUGAAAAUGAAAGAACUAAAUAAAUACUAUAAAUAUAUUGAAAAUCCGUGAAUUACUACAAUUGACAGUUAUAAAUUUUAUCAAAAUUGUUCAAUUUAUGGUUCUCGUACAGGGUUUAAGCCUCUGGGAGGAGCAACAUAUAGGGUAUAUAGAAAAGAUGCAUGAAAAUAUUUUAAAUUCCUACACCUCAGAACAUAUUACAGUGUAUAUUUAUAUUGAAGUUGAAGGUGUCUACUGAAACUCAUGACCCCCUACUCGUGCUCUGGCCACAGGGUGGGGUUAAAUUGGCCAUCUACUUCAAAAUGUAUUCCAUCGAUCCAAAACAAAUCUAUCUGGGAACAAGCAAACUGGGUACAUGGUUUGGGUGCUUCUACCGAAAUUGAAAUGAAUGACAUUUUCGAAAUAGUCUUUACUCCUGACCAGAUAGCAGACAUACUCGGUGCAAAGUUUGUGUGAGCUCUAGACGUUUCUAACGAAGAAAUUCUUGAUCCAUGGGUCAGAUGAUAUGUUCUAACACAAGGACGAGACUACAUGUAGGUAUACAAUAUAACGAAGGUGUAUCCACAUCACUCAAAUCUCCAAAUCUAUUGUUGGGGAAAGCUAUGUGCAUCGUUUCAAUAAGCUUGAAGGCUUCUAAGAUUUUGAAACUUCUGGCCCCAAGACUAUAAACUGAGAAUAGACUAAGUCAAAAUUGAUUAGUUAUACCUUAGGAUUUAUGUAGCACAGGGGUUUAAAAAAAACCACUGCAGGUUGAUAAAAAAAAAUUCAAAUGCAAACAUAUGCUGAAAAUUUUAUUUGUAUAUGAAAAUUAUUUCAAAAGUUAGCUGGAUUUGAAAUUUAGACUUAAGUCUAUUCUCAGUUUAUGGUCUCGAGGCCUGCUCUUAGGUUGGUUGGUUGUAUAUUGUUUAACGUACGGUCCUGCUCGAGAAUUUUUCACUCAUAUGAACACUGUCAUGAUCGUGUGCAGGAUUGGACAAAACAAGAUGGCAGACGGCAUUUCCAAACAAAGGUAUCAAGCCCUAGAACUUCAUUCCAUGAGAUGGGUACACUUCGAAUGUGCAAAUUUGUGGUGAGGAAUUCAAGACCAAUUCUGAAUUGCGUAGGCAUGUAUAAAGGAAACAUCAGUCAGAAAAAUUGUCUUCGUUUGUGACCAGUGCAACACACGCUUUUGCCCAUUAUAAAAGAAACUCGAAGUAAAAAAUACAUUGUUUUCUGAAUACACGAGGUGUAUACAUACAUGUAUACCAUGGCAGCCGUUUUAUAUAUUCGUUUAUGUACAUUGUGAAACGAUUAUUUUUACGGUAUUAUGCUUUGUUUUACAGAGAUACUACUAAUCUUUUACAUUGCAUUUUACACAUGUUGAUUUGUCAUUUCAUUGAACCUAAGUUUUACGUGUUAUUAAAUAUAUUUCAAUGUUA
Molecule: long non-coding RNA, 4046 nt
Organism: Ostrea edulis (European flat oyster)
Lineage: Eukaryota; Metazoa; Mollusca; Bivalvia; Ostreida; Ostreidae
Exons: 4
Source: RefSeq, a predicted model, not a curated record